RNAcentral lists this ribosomal RNA (253 nucleotides) under uncultured bacterium. RNAcentral's name for it is "partial 16S ribosomal RNA". It matches the Rfam family "Bacterial small subunit ribosomal RNA", at positions 524 to 776 of the family's 1533-position model. The record is from RNAcentral.
UACGAAGGGUGCAAGCGUUACUCGGAAUUACUGGGCGUAAAGCGUGCGUAGGUGGUGAGUUAAGUCUGUCGUGAAAGCCCCGGGCUCAACCUGGGAAUGGCGAUGGAUACUGGCUCGCUAGAGUGCGGUAGAGGAGAGUGGAAUUCCCGGUGUAGCAGUGAAAUGCGUAGAGAUUGGGAGGAACAUCAGUUGCGAAGGCGGCUCUCUGGACCAGCACUGACACUGAGGCACGAAAGCGUGGGGAGCAAACAGG